UUGUUUUGUUUACACUGGAAUUAUUUAAGUUUUCCUCAGAGAGGAAUAUUUUCAGUGAUGAAAUGACAGACAUGUGUUACACACAGUCAGAAAGCCUAUCCUAUCAGGCCCAGUAAUCCUCCUGCAACAUUCCUAGGAUUAGAUAACUGCCCAGCCCUUGGUUCAUUUACUGGCGCCCUCUAUAUUAGCACCAGCCCUGGAUGUCUGUCUAUGGUCUCCUCCACAGUAGGCUCAGACAGGACAGGAGCUGUAAUCAGAGAGAAAUCUUUGAUUUUGUUUAUUUUUUCCAUCAGAAAUCAAAAAAGAGAUGGAGCUACUGAGGCCUUCACUUCUUAUUGUCUUUAUCUCAACAGCAAUCGCAAAACCAUUCAACAGGCCUGGACACCAUAAUGGUCCACAGUUCAACAGGCCUGGACACCACAAUGUUCCACAGUUCAACAGGCCUGGACACCACAAUGUUCCACAGUUCAACAGGCCUGGACACCACAAUGUUCCACGAAUCCACGAGUCCUCAGAAUCUGAUGAAUCAAGAAUGACACCAGGACCAACUGCUCCAACCACAGUGAACCCUCCCACUCCUGCCAUGUCAACUAUCCCACCAGUGACAGAAAUGUCCACGAAUGGGCCAAUUGUCGGUGAAAUGACACCGUCACCAAGGAACGUUACUGCACGUGUCACUGAGGACAUUACAACUCCCACUCCAGCAACUCCCCCUUCACCAACUAGAUGAGACAACUAAUAAUGAGAAAAUCAUGAGAAUGCUUUAUUAUAAUUAUUCAAGAGUUUAUAAAUCAUUGCUUUUUUUAGGUCAUAAUUUUUUGUAUGGACUGUUUACAGUACCUGCAGUAUACCUUUCUUGUCAUUUUAUUUGUGUUUUUUAUGCAGCAGCAUUUAUAGGUAAUGUUAUCGAUAGCUUCAUAAUAACCCUAUCAGAAGCCCUGUAAUCUUUACUAGUUCAACAUAUGGUGGUAGUUACGGGUGUUUGGAUGUCUGUGAACUAGGUGAUCAUAAUCUGCUGGGUGUGAAUGUUUGAUUGAUUCAUUGAUAUUGCUGUGUUAUGCUCCAGUAUGUCUCUUUACACACAGUAUGUAGUGACUUGCUCUUUGGAGUUUUAGGCUGGUUAUCUGUAUAGUACAUUGAGACAACUGCUGAUUUACAAAGGACUUAAUAACAUACAUUUGAUUGAUUGAUUGAUAUUUGUUGUGAACUUGUGUCCUCAAUAAA
Oncorhynchus nerka (sockeye salmon) is the source of this 1224-nucleotide long non-coding RNA. RefSeq lists it as uncharacterized. The record is from RefSeq and is a predicted model, not a curated record. NCBI's taxonomy places the organism in Eukaryota, Metazoa, Chordata, Actinopteri, Salmoniformes, Salmonidae. The transcript has 2 exons.